AUACGUAGGGGGCGAGCGUUGUCCGGAAUGAUUGGGCGUAAAGGGCGCGUAGGCGGCGCGGUAAGUCUGGAGUGAAAGUCCUGCUUUCAAGGUGGGAAUUGCUUUGGAUACUGCCGCGCUUGAGUGCAGGAGAGGUUAUCGGAAUUCCCAGUGUAGCGGUGAAAUGCGUAGAGAUUGGGAGGAACACCAGUGGCGAAGGCGACUUACUGGGCCGUAACUGACGCUGAGGCGCGAAAGCGUGGGGAGCGAACAGGAUUAGAUACCCUGGUAGUCCACGCCGUAAACGAUGAAUGCUAGGUGUAGCGGGUAUCGACCCCUGCUGUGCCGCAGUAAACACAAUAAGCAUUCCGCCUGGGGAGUACGGCCGCAAGGUUGAAACUCAAAUGAAUUGACGGGG
RNAcentral lists this ribosomal RNA (397 nucleotides) under uncultured bacterium. Its description in RNAcentral is "partial 16S ribosomal RNA". It matches the Rfam family "Bacterial small subunit ribosomal RNA", at positions 523 to 918 of the family's 1533-position model. The record is from RNAcentral.